CAAGUCGAACGAACUUCCGUUAAUUGAUUAUGACGUACUUGUACUGAUUGAGAUUUUAACACGAAGUGAGUGGCGAACGGGUGAGUAACACGUGGGUAACCUGCCCAGAAGUAGGGGAUAACACCUGGAAACAGAUGCUAAUACCGUAUAACAGAGAAAACCGCAUGGUUUUCUUUUAAAAGAUGGCUCUGCUAUCACUUCUGGAUGGACCCGCGGCGUAUUAGCUAGUUGGUGAGGUAAAGGCUCACCAAGGCAGUGAUACGUAGCCGACCUGAGAGGGUAAUCGGCCACAUUGGGACUGAGACACGGCCCAGACUCCUACGGGAGGCAGCAGUAGGGAAUCUUCCACAAUGGACGCAAGUCUGAUGGAGCAACGCCGCGUGAGUGAAGAAGGGUUUCGGCUCGUAAAGCUCUGUUGUUAAAGAAGAACGUGGGUAAGAGUAACUGUUUACCCAGUGACGGUAUUUAACCAGAAAGCCACGGCUAACUACGUGCCAGCAGCCGCGGUAAUACGUAGGUGGCAAGCGUUAUCCGGAUUUAUUGGGCGUAAAGCGAGCGCAGGCGGUCUUUUAAGUCUAAUGUGAAAGCCUUCGGCUCAACCGAAGAAGUGCAUUGGAAACUGGGAGACUUGAGUGCAGAAGAGGACAGUGGAACUCCAUGUGUAGCGGUGAAAUGCGUAGAUAUAUGGAAGAACACCAGUGGCGAAGGCGGCUGUCUGGUCUGCAACUGACGCUGAGGCUCGAAAGCAUGGGUAGCGAACAGGAUUAGAUACCCUGGUAGUCCAUGCCGUAAACGAUGAUUACUAAGUGUUGGAGGGUUUCCGCCCUUCAGUGCUGCAGCUAACGCAUUAAGUAAUCCGCCUGGGGAGUACGACCGCAAGGUUGAAACUCAAAAGAAUUGACGGGGGCCCGCACAAGCGGUGGAGCAUGUGGUUUAAUUCGAAGCUACGCGAAGAACCUUACCAGGUCUUGACAUCUUCUGACAGUCUAAGAGAUUAGAGGUUCCCUUCGGGGACAGAAUGACAGGUGGUGCAUGGUUGUCGUCAGCUCGUGUCGUGAGAUGUUGGGUUAAGUCCCGCAACGAGCGCAACCCUUAUUACUAGUUGCCAGCAUUAAGUUGGGCACUCUAGUGAGACUGCCGGUGACAAACCGGAGGAAGGUGGGGACGACGUCAAAUCAUCAUGCCCCUUAUGACCUGGGCUACACACGUGCUACAAUGGAUGGUACAACGAGUCGCGAGACCGCGAGGUUAAGCUAAUCUCUUAAAACCAUUCUCAGUUCGGACUGUAGGCUGCAACUCGCCUACACGAAGUCGGAAUCGCUAGUAAUCGCGGAUCAGCAUGCCGCGGUGAAUACGUUCCCGGGCCUUGUACACACCGCCCGUCACACCAUGAGAGUUUGUAACACCCAAAGCCGGUGAGGUAA
RNAcentral lists this ribosomal RNA (1424 nucleotides) under Pediococcus pentosaceus. RNAcentral describes it as "bacterial SSU rRNA". It matches the Rfam family "Bacterial small subunit ribosomal RNA". The record is from RNAcentral. Lineage: Bacteria; Bacillati; Bacillota; Bacilli; Lactobacillales; Lactobacillaceae.